Molecule: ribosomal RNA, 441 nt
Filed under: uncultured bacterium
Lineage: Bacteria
Description: partial 16S ribosomal RNA
Rfam family: Bacterial small subunit ribosomal RNA
Source: RNAcentral
CCUACGGGAGGCAGCAGUGGGGAAUAUUGCACAAUGGGGGAAACCCUGAUGCAGCAACGCCGCGUGAGUGAAGAAGUAUUUCGGUAUGUAAAGCUCUAUCAGCAGGGAAGAAGCAAGACGGUACCUGACUAAGAAGCCCCGGCUAACUACGUGCCAGCAGCCGCGGUAAUACGUAGGGGGCGAGCGUUAUCCGGAUUCACUGGGUGUAAAGGGAGCGUAGACGGCCAUGCAAGCCAGGGGUGAAAGCCCGGGGCCCAACCCCGGGACUGCCCUUGGAACUGCAUGGCUGGAGUGCGGGAGGGGCAGGCGGAAUUCCUGGUGUAGCGGUGAAAUGCGUAGAUAUUAGGAGGAACACCAGUGGCGAAGGCGGCUUACUGGACUGCAACUGACGUUGAGGCUCGAAAGCGUGGGGAGCAAACAGGAUUAGAUACCCGGGUAGUC